This 693-nucleotide ribosomal RNA is filed under the name uncultured bacterium. RNAcentral's name for it is "bacterial SSU rRNA". It matches the Rfam family "Bacterial small subunit ribosomal RNA", at positions 357 to 1056 of the family's 1533-position model. The record is from RNAcentral.
AGGAAUAUUGGGCAAUGCCCGUAAGGGUGACCCAGCAACGCCGCGUGGAGGAUGAAUGCCGUAAGGUUGUAAACUCCUGUGAGAAGGGACGAAAAAGUGGAUUUAAUCCAAAUUGACUGUACCUUCAGAGGAAACCCCGGCUAACUACGUGCCAGCAGCCGCGGUAAUACGUAGGGGGUUAGCGUUGUCCGGAUUUACUGGGUGUAAAGGGCGCGUAGGCGGGUUUGUUAGUCAGAGGUGAAAUCUCCCGGCUUAACCGGGAAACUGCCUUUGAUACUGCAAAUCUUGAGUUCAGAAGAGAGAGAUGGAAUUCCAGGUGUAGUGGUGAAAUACGUAGAUAUCUGGAAGAACACCAGUGGCGAAGCGAUCUCUUGGUCUGAUACUGACGCUGAGGCGCGAAAGCGUGGGUAGCAAACAGGAUUAGAUACCCUGGUAAGUCCACGCUGUAAACGAUGAAUACUAGAUGUUGGUCCUUAUGGAACAGUGUCGAAGCUAACGCAUUAAGUAUUCCACCUGGGGAGUACGAUCGCAAGGUUGAAACUCAAAGGAAUUGACGGGGGCCCGCACAAGCAGUGGAGCAUGUGGUUUAAUUCGAUGCAACGCGAAGAACCUUACCUGGGCUUGAAAGCAAGCGACAGGGUGUGAAAGCACCCCUCCACAAUGGCGCUUGUACAGGUGCUGCAGGCUGUCGUC